RNAcentral lists this ribosomal RNA (553 nucleotides) under uncultured bacterium. RNAcentral describes it as "bacterial SSU rRNA". It matches the Rfam family "Bacterial small subunit ribosomal RNA", at positions 69 to 619 of the family's 1533-position model. The record is from RNAcentral.
GUAACAGAACUAGCUUGCUAGUUGCUGACGAGUGGCGGACGGGUGAGUAAUACUUAGGGAUCUGCCUCUGUGUGGGGGAUAACUAUUGGAAACGAUAGCUAAUACCGCAUAACGUCUACGGACCAAAGAGGGCUUCGGCUCUCGCGCAGAGAGGAACCUAAGCGAGAUUAGCUUGUUGGUGGGGUAAAGGCUCACCAAGGCGACGAUCUCUAGCUGUUCUGAGAGGAAGAUCAGCCACACUGGAACUGAGACACGGUCCAGACUCCUACGGGAGGCAGCAGUGGGGAAUAUUGCACAAUGGGGGCAACCCUGAUGCAGCCAUGCCGCGUGUGUGAAGAAGGCCUUCGGGUUGUAAAGCACUUUCAGUUGUGAGGAAAGGUUAGUAGUUAAUACCUGCUAGCUGUGACGUUAACAACAGAAGAAGCACCGGCUAACUCCGUGCCAGCAGCCGCGGUAAUACGGAGGGUGCAAGCGUUAAUCGGAAUUACUGGGCGUAAAGCGCACGCAGGCGGUCUGUUAAGCUAGAUGUGAAAGCCCCGCGCUCAACGUGGGA